RNAcentral lists this ribosomal RNA (525 nucleotides) under Triticum aestivum (bread wheat). Its description in RNAcentral is "partial small subunit ribosomal RNA". Lineage: Eukaryota; Viridiplantae; Streptophyta; Magnoliopsida; Poales; Poaceae. The record is from RNAcentral.
AUGGAGUGCAUCGUGGAGCCGCAGCGGGAGCGGGAGCGCUGCGUCACGGAUGUACCUGAGGUCGAUGGUGCUGAGCUGCUCGUCGAGCUCCUGGACGCAUCGCUCGCCGCCGAGGAGGAGGCGGCGGCAGUCGGCUGCAAGCAUCACCAGCUCGGCUUCCCGGCCGACGACGUCGGCGAAGGCUGGAUCGACGACGGCCUACAGGAGCUGAACUUGAUCCACCCGCACCAGGAGGCGGGCUGCGAGGACUGCGGGCUCGACGGCAUAAUCCUCUCCGGCUUUGACGGCUGCGGGUGCUCGCCGGGACCGUACGUCCUGGACGACGUUGGCAACGCCGUGGGGUACUGGGCGGAGGAGAUGGAGGGCGCCGCCUUUGGCUUCUUCAACGGCGACUGCGUGGGGGAGUGGUACUCGGACGGCAUGGCCAUGGAGUGGGACGAAGGGAGAAGCUACUACUCCUUUUACCCAUCCUACGGCGGCGAGGCGAGCGCGGAGCAACCGUACAUCAGUCCAUUGUGGGAGUGA